AACGAACGCUGGCGGCAGGCUUAACACAUGCAAGUCGAACGGGCGUAGCAAUACGUCAGUGGCGGACGGGUGAGUAACACGUGGGAAUGUGCCUUUCGGUUCGGAACAACUCGGGGAAACUCGUGCUAAUUCCGGAUACGCCCUUACGGGAAGAUUAUCGCCGAAAGAUCAGCCCGCGUCCGAUUAGCUAGUUGGUGAGGUAAAGGCUCACCAAGGCACCGAUCGGUAGCUGGUUUGAGAGAACGACCAGCCACACUGGGACUGAGACACGGCCCAGACUCCUACGGGAGGCAGCAGUGGGGAAUCUUGGACAAUGGGCGCAAGCCUGAUCCAGCCAUGCCGCGUGAGUGAUGAA
This 355-nucleotide ribosomal RNA is filed under the name uncultured bacterium. RNAcentral's name for it is "bacterial SSU rRNA". It matches the Rfam family "Bacterial small subunit ribosomal RNA", at positions 29 to 412 of the family's 1533-position model. The record is from RNAcentral.